UACUAUUUGAUCAUACUGUUCUUUAGUGAAAGGAAAAGCACUUCCUUGAGCCUGUGGAGAGGAACCUGUGUAAGGAGAAAAGAGUCAACUCGCACCCAAAGGACUGGUUUACUUUGCAACCAAAUUGUUGUUAUCCCCUCGAAAUGAGUACUGUAGCAAAGUGCAAUUCAUCCAAUUUUAGACAAUAUUGCAAGGUUCCAUAUGUUUCACUUAACAAUCUAUUUUAAUUCACUAUUGUUAAUUGGUUUCUUAAUUGCUAAUCUUCCAGCAUCAAGCAACAAUAUUAUUUUUUUGGUUUUUCUGGAUAUCAGGUCUAUGCAACAACUGCUGAAACUGAAUAGCAAAAGUGGUGGGAAAAAAGUGUGCAUAAUAUGAUCUACAUACAUUCAACUCAAGAGUUUUUAGACGAGGAAAGAUCUCUUUUCCAGCAAGUAAAAGAAAAUGAAGAACCAUUUUCUACCUGUGAAAUAUCAAGUAACAAGAGGCAUUCUGUGUACAAAGACUAUGAACUAAAAUAAUAUGGAGAUAGAAGUGCAAGUGGAAGUGCUCACUUUGUUUCCAAUGGAUUUGACCAGUAUUUGUAGUGUGAAAACUUUGGAUCAUCCAAAUCUUCAGCUAUCCCAUAUGAAAAUUGAGCAUCUCCGCGAGCCAUCAUUUUUGGGGCAACAAAGUUGAGCAAAUCCAAAAUAUCUCCAGCUGAAUAAACCUUGUAUUCUUCCACUGCUUUGAUACCAGCAACACCCAUGUCAUAGUAUUCGGUCCACACAUCGCAUGUGUUAUUUGCAACAUUAGUUCCCUUCACUACACCCUGCAUGUAAAAAAACCAUAGCUACUUCCAGGCAACAAGUGAGUGGGAAAGAGAUAAUUUCGCAAAGCUUGUAAGUACCAGGUAUUAAGGCCGCUAUGCAGUUAUUAGUUUUAUUUGUUUUUCUUUGCUGUAUAAGGAUCAAAAUUUCUAGCAUUGCCCUUGAUGUUUGCAGAUUUAAAACAUUUCCAGAAAAGUUAACAUAGAAAAUAAAGGGUGAAGGUGGAAAC
This 1035-nucleotide long non-coding RNA is filed under the name Nicotiana tabacum (common tobacco). Its description in RNAcentral is "long non-coding RNA (NTAB_LNC001792)". The record is from RNAcentral. Lineage: Eukaryota; Viridiplantae; Streptophyta; Magnoliopsida; Solanales; Solanaceae.